RNAcentral lists this ribosomal RNA (496 nucleotides) under uncultured bacterium. RNAcentral describes it as "partial 16S ribosomal RNA". It matches the Rfam family "Bacterial small subunit ribosomal RNA", at positions 28 to 507 of the family's 1533-position model. The record is from RNAcentral.
GAUGAACGCUGGCGGCGUGCCUAAUACAUGCAAGUCGAGCGGACGGACGAGAAGCUUGCUUCUCUGAUGUUAGCGGCGGACGGGUGAGUAACACGUGGAUAACCUACCUAUAAGACUGGGAUAACUUCGGGAAACCGGAGCUAAUACCGGAUAAUAUUUUGAACCGCAUGGUUCAAAAGUGAAAGACGGUCUUGCUGUCACUUAUAGAUGGAUCCGCGCUGCAUUAGCUAGUUGGUAAGGUAACGGCUUACCAAGGCAACGAUGCAUAGCCGACCUGAGAGGGUGAUCGGCCACACUGGAACUGAGACACGGUCCAGACUCCUACGGGAGGCAGCAGUAGGGAAUCUUCCGCAAUGGGCGAAAGCCUGACGGAGCAACGCCGCGUGAGUGAUGAAGGUCUUCGGAUCGUAAAACUCUGUUAUUAGGGAAGAACAUAUGUGUAAGUAACUGUGCACAUCUUGACGGUACCAAUCAGAAAGCCACGGCUAACUACGUG